AGGGGUAUAGCUCAACUGGCAGAGCGCUGGUCUCCAAAACCAGAGGUUGGGGGUUCGAUUCCCUCUGCCCCUGCCA
This 76-nucleotide transfer RNA is filed under the name Rhizobacter sp. OV335. Its description in RNAcentral is "tRNA_Trp_CCA". It matches the Rfam family "tRNA". From Rfam's summary of the family: Transfer RNA (tRNA) molecules are approximately 80 nucleotides in length. Their secondary structure includes four short double-helical elements and three loops (D, anti-codon, and T loops). RNAcentral also lists the same sequence under 4 other names. The record is from RNAcentral. Lineage: Bacteria; Pseudomonadati; Pseudomonadota; Betaproteobacteria; Burkholderiales; Sphaerotilaceae.